UACAGAGGUCUCAAGCGUUGUUCGGAUUCAUUGGGCGUAAAGAGCUCGUAGGCGGCUCGUUGCGUCGGCUGUGAAAACCCGCAGCUCAACUGUGGGCUUGCAGCCGAUACGGGCGGGCUGGAGUUCGGUAGGGGAGACUGGAAUUCCUGGUGUAGCGGUGAAAUGCGCAGAUAUCAGGAGGAACACCCGUGGCGAAAGCGGCUCUCUGGGACGGUACUGACGCUGAGACGCGAAAGCGUGGGGAGCAAACAGG
Molecule: ribosomal RNA, 253 nt
Filed under: uncultured bacterium
Lineage: Bacteria
Description: partial 16S ribosomal RNA
Rfam family: Bacterial small subunit ribosomal RNA
Source: RNAcentral